RNAcentral lists this ribosomal RNA (254 nucleotides) under uncultured bacterium. Its description in RNAcentral is "partial 16S ribosomal RNA". It matches the Rfam family "Bacterial small subunit ribosomal RNA", at positions 524 to 776 of the family's 1533-position model. The record is from RNAcentral.
UACGUAGGGGGCAAGCGUUGUCCGGAAUCAUUGGGCGUAAAGAGCGUGUAGGCGGCUCGGUAAGUCCGCUGUGAAAGUCCAGGGCUCAACCCCUGGAAUGCCGGUGGAAACUGUCGAGCUAGAGUCCGGAAGAGGCGAGUGGAAUUCCUGGUGUAGCGGUGAAAUGCGCAGAUAUCAGGAGGAACACCAAUGGCGAAGGCAGCUCGCUGGGACGGUACUGACGCUGAGACGCGAAAGCGUGGGGAGCAAACAGG